GAAAUUAUAAUAUUAUUAAUAAUUCAUCCCUCAAUUAUAUAUAUUAAUCAUAUUUCACUCUUGAAUAUUCUCACCCUCUCUAAUUCUCUAGCUAGUUUCUGAUCUCUUCUUCUCAAAUUUUUUGCUUUUUUUGUGUAAUUUUAAGUACAUGAUGGAUCAAAGAGAAGGCGAUGAUGACCAUGGAAUUACUUGCAGAAUUGACUGGAAGAUUUCAAGGCCAAAUUUUCAAGAAUGGUUUUGCAUUUGAGCCAUGGCCUAAAUAAUUGGAGCAAAUGAAAAUGAUGAUGAUCUUGACUUCGGGGAAAUUAUUAACCUCUAGGCAAGUCUACUGCUUGGCUUAUCCUCCUUUUUUGUGGUUUUCUUUUUUGUUUUUAUCAUGUUUGGUUGCUGAGAAAAUGGAGGAUAUUGUAUGAAUAAGAUUUGGAAUCUUGGUUUCAUGUUAGAUUCCAAGGCUUCUCUUCUUCGAUCACUAGCUGUGUCUUUAGCAACCAAACAGGUUUUAGUUUCUCUCUCUUUUAACUUUGAGUUCUUGUCUGCUCCAACACUGUAAGAGAAAUUAAACUUUGUGAAUUGUAAAAGACAUAGUUUUUCUUUCUGGUUCAUCAUUUAAAUUCAACGAACAAUAAUAUAUAUAGCAGAAUUGCCAAACUUGUUUAGAUUAUAUAUCAUCCAAUCACUACUUUUUUCUGAAAGGCUUGAGUUGGUUUUAGUUUGAAAAUCCUGCGAAGUUUUAAGGAUGUUUUAUUCGGUG
RNAcentral lists this long non-coding RNA (751 nucleotides) under Durio zibethinus. RNAcentral's name for it is "long non-coding RNA (DZIB_LNC001434)". Lineage: Eukaryota; Viridiplantae; Streptophyta; Magnoliopsida; Malvales; Malvaceae. The record is from RNAcentral.